Molecule: RNA transcript, 1711 nt
Organism: Syngnathus typhle (broad-nosed pipefish)
Lineage: Eukaryota; Metazoa; Chordata; Actinopteri; Syngnathiformes; Syngnathidae
Exons: 3
Source: RefSeq, a predicted model, not a curated record
CGCUCUCUGUUUAUUUGUCUUAUUUUGUGUGUUUUCUGUGUCCUCUGCUGCCCAUCCCGGAUCACUUUUACCAGAGAAGCUCUGUUAAACAUCGGACAGACUUCUUCUGGUACUUUCUCUCCUGUUCUCUCCGAUUCAGACUGUUUGUCGGAGAUUCUAGCCGGAGCGGCGGUGCUGUACAAGCUAGCGUACAAGCUAGCGCGACGACGGCGGCGCGGUAAGCGAGCCGGCGCACUCGUAAGGCUGAGGCAGAAAGGGUUCCGUUCUGCCCUACCGUCAAUUCAUCUGGCGAAUGUCCGCUCCCUGGCGAACAAGAUGGAUGAACUGCUGCUCCUCACUUCAAGGAACACGGACUUCAGCGGAUCCGCCGCGCUGUGCUUUGUGGAAACGUGGCUUAGCGAACGAACCCCCCACCACGCCGUGGAGCUAGCCGGGUUCAAGCUAAUGCGAGCAGAUCGCAGCGCGGAGCUCUCCGGAAAAUCAAAGGGAGGUGGUGUCUGUUUCUACAUUAAUGAACGUUGGUGUACUGAAGUCACGGUGUUGAAAGAGUUUUGCAGCCCUCUCCUAGAAACACUUUUCAUAAACUGCCGGCUGUUCUAUUCACCACGGGAGUUCUCCUCGAUUGUCAUGGCGGCUGUUUACAUUCCACCACACGCACGUCCGAGUGAAGCCACGCAGAUGCUGGCUGACCAGGUGAUCUUAACAGGGCGAACCUCGCACACGAACUCCCCAGAUACAGACAGCACGUAACGUGUCCCACCAGAGGGGCACAGACUCUGGACCACUGCUACACCGUGAUCAAGGAUGCAUACCACUCUGCGGCUCGUGCAGCUUUAGGACUAUCGGACCACUGUCUAAUUCAUCUGAUCCCGGCCUACAGGCAGAAACUAAAAACUUCUAAGCCUGUGGUGAGGACUGUGAGGAAGUGGACAGUGGAGUCAAGGCAGGACCUCCAAGCCUGCUUUGACUGCACCGAUUGGGGAGCUUUCGAAGCUGCAACUUCAGACUUGCAUGAACUCACUGACACUGUCACAUCAUACAUCAGUUUUUGUGAGGAUCUGUGUGUGCAGACUAAGACCUUCUGCACGUACAACAACGACAAACCUUGGUUUACACCGAACCUCAGGAGGCUGCGCAAAGUCAAGGAGGAGGCCUACAGGAGUGGCGACCGCGAGCUGUUCAGGCAGACCAGAAACACGCUGAACCAAGAGGUCAGGAAAGCCAGGAGGUGUUACGGGGAGAACCUGAAGAGACACCUCUCUGCCAAUCCUGAUCCCUCAACGGUGUGGAAAGGUCUGCAGAGCAUCACGGGCUACAAGAAACGAACCACCCGUCCUGUAGAGAGCCCAAGACUUGCUAACCAGCUAAACAAGUUCUACUGCAGAGGCCGCGCCCGCACUCCAGGUCCGCGAGGAGGAAGUGCGCCAGAUGUUCCGGAGACAAAAGACCAGGAAGGCACCGGGCCCAGACGGCGUGUCACCUUCCUGCUUGAAAGUCUGCGCUGAGCAGCUGGCGCCCACCUUUGCACGGAUCUUCAACCGUUCUCUGGAGCUGGGUGAGGUGCCCUCGUGCUUCAAGAGCUCCACCAUCGUUCCAGUAGCCAAGAAGCCCGCCAUCACAGGUCUGAAUGACUAUAGACCCGUCGCACUGACAUCUGUGGUCAUGAAAUCGUUCGAGAGGCUAGUGCUGAACCACCUGAAGGAGGUCUCAG